GUUUUCCCUGAAAGGAAUGCUGCCCUGCUGACACCCUGACUCCAGUGCAGUGAGACCCACUUCAGACUUCUGACCUUUAAAACUGUAAGGUAAUAAUUUGUGUUAAGCCGCUAAGUUUGCAGCAAUUUGUUACAGUGGCAAUAAGAAACGAAUACAAAGGUGAAAGCUGAUCAUGGCUGAAGAAUAGAUAAAGUGUAUGAUUAGAAAGGAGGUAGCAGAUAUGGGCAGGAGGUCAAUGACCAUAGAGGCUUAAAUUUCAAGGCAGAGAUUUUGAAAUGCAUAGGCAAUGGGAAACUGCUGAAGGAUUCUAAAAAAUGAGUGAUGCGGUCAGAUUUGUAUCACAAAGAGGUCACCAACUGGUGCAGAGGAGGAACUGGAAGAGUGAGCCAGAAGGCAGAGAGACUCCUGGAGAGGAGGUUGCAGCGGUCCUGGUGAGCUCCCCCGCGGUGAGCUGGGGCCACAGGGGGGCUGCCUCCUCUGAGCCCUUGGGACCCACGGGACCUCCACACCGCAGUACUGGCAGCCAGGGGCUGUGUUACAUACGCCACUCCCUUCCUAGUGUCCUUGUGGAGGCAGCCUCUUCAGUGAAAACCUGGACUAGGAGAGAGGAGGAAGCAACCCAACUGCAGACUUGGCCCUGGAAGCUCUCAGCAGUGCAGUCUCCGGACCGGUGUCCUGCACUAUUGCGCAGAGGGCUGGGCGCCAUCUAGAGGGCAACAGCGGUAACAGCCGGAAGGAAAGGAAAGCCGCAGUGAUUCCCAAACAUCACCAAAGGGGACGCGGGGAAGCCUGCUUCUGGCUCUGUGGGCGGAUUCUAUAAUAAAAUGAAGUGUGAGAUCACAGAAUCUUUUAAUUCUAGCAUGUGGAAAUUAUGAAAUUAUAGAAAAAUUAACUCUCUAAGCUAUGGGGGGUGGAGUCAGAAUCGUACAUCCUUUGACUUUUAGAUAUGGAGAAUGUGGUAUUUCUAGUGUCUUUAGUUCUUAUACCCCUGGGGUGCCCCUGGCCUCAAUAGAGUACAAAUUCAGACUUUUAACAGUGACACCCGGACCUCAGUCUCCAACACCUCACCUGCUUGACCCCGGCUCUGCCUCUUCUGACCAGUUACCCGCAGAAACCUCCAAGGGUGGCCCACUACCAGCCUCUACUGCCAGAAUAAAAGUCUCUUGAUGUCAAGGAACGUGCCCUUCACCUCCUAUCACCAGCGCGGAGCCAGUCUCACAGUGAGGCAAGAAGGCAGCGUGAUGCCGCAGUCCUCAGCAGCAGAAGCGUAGGUUCAGACCCCAGCUCCACCACUGGCUAGCUGGAGCCCUAAUUUAACUUCUCUGGGCCUUUUGUUACUGA
RNAcentral lists this long non-coding RNA (1341 nucleotides) under Callithrix jacchus (white-tufted-ear marmoset). RNAcentral describes it as "lncRNA (ENSCJAG00000082410.1)". The record is from RNAcentral. Lineage: Eukaryota; Metazoa; Chordata; Mammalia; Primates; Cebidae.